UAUAGUUUAUUUGAUAGUACCUUACUACUUGGAUAUCCGUAGUAAUUCUAGAGCUAAUACAUGCGUCAACUCCCAACUGCCUCGGCGGACGGGAUGUAUUUAUUAGAUCGAAACCAAUGCGGCAGCAAUGUCGGAUCUUGGUGAGUUAUAAUAACUGUGCGGAUCGCACGGCCUUGCGCCGGCGACAGAUCAUUCAGGUUUCUGCCCUAUCAGCUUCCGAUGGUAGUGUAUUGGACUACCAUGGCUUUAACGGGUAACGGAGAAUUAGGGUUCGAUUCCGGAGAGGGAGCCUGAGAGACGGCUACCACA
This 309-nucleotide ribosomal RNA is filed under the name uncultured eukaryote. RNAcentral describes it as "partial 18S rRNA". It matches the Rfam family "Eukaryotic small subunit ribosomal RNA", at positions 111 to 414 of the family's 1831-position model. The record is from RNAcentral.